RNAcentral lists this unclassified non-coding RNA (267 nucleotides) under fungal sp. Its description in RNAcentral is "partial internal transcribed spacer region". The stretch from base 1 to 46 matches the Rfam family "Eukaryotic small subunit ribosomal RNA", at positions 1786 to 1831 of the family's 1831-position model. The record is from RNAcentral. Lineage: Eukaryota; Fungi.
AAGUCAUAACAAGGUUUCUGUAGGUGAACCUGCAGAAGGAUCAUUAUUGAAUAAUAGGGCUUCCCAUUCUUUGGGGCCCGAACCUCACAUAAUUUCCACACACUUGUGAAUCGUUGGAGCAUGGAAGGAGAGACUCUCUCGAGUCUCUGUGAAAAUGCUCUGGCACCCAUUUAUUAUUACAAACUCUGAGUUAAUGGAUGUAGUUGUAAACUUGUCUUUUGACAGAAACAAAAAUACAACUUUCAACAACGGAUCUCUUGGUUCUCC